RNAcentral lists this small RNA (52 nucleotides) under Roseibium marinum. RNAcentral's name for it is "Labrenzia marina ffh sRNA". It matches the Rfam family "ffh sRNA". Lineage: Bacteria; Pseudomonadati; Pseudomonadota; Alphaproteobacteria; Hyphomicrobiales; Stappiaceae. The record is from RNAcentral.
GAUCCCGGAGGUCAACAUCCGACAGCGCGACGCGCCCUCGGAUGCGAAACUG